Molecule: long non-coding RNA, 351 nt
Filed under: Meleagris gallopavo (turkey)
Lineage: Eukaryota; Metazoa; Chordata; Aves; Galliformes; Phasianidae
Description: lncRNA (ENSMGAG00000017535.1)
Source: RNAcentral
AUGGGUGGAAAAUGCACAAUGCUUAUUACUAUUUCCAGACCGUCAGCGUCUCUUAAGGACCUGAACUUCACCACAGCUUCAAAAAAUUGCAUCCUGGUGAGAGAGCACAGAGCCUGCUGGAAUCAGUGUGUUCAGCAUUGCCGGAGCAGAGCAUGUGCAGGGAGCGGAGACAGGCAGCAGAGGAUCUGCAGAAAGGAAAAGAGCAGUGGAGGCUUACAAAGAGUUCCUUCCGGUUGCACUGUUCUUCCAGCCCUUUUGCCUGGAGGUAUCUGAAUUCCCUCAUGAGAAGUGUCCUACCAGUUUCUCAUGUGCAGCCGCACCGUCCAUGGGUAGCAACAGUUUAACUGAUGU